UAUAGUUUUGCAAAACCGAGCUUGAACACUCCUAAUCUCCACCCAAAUGCAAAUUUCCCAGUUCCAGGCCAAAAUCAGACAUUUCAAUCGGUGCAAAACGUUUCUAAUUCAUCAAAUCAUGCACAGAAAUAAAAAAAACCCUAAUUUUUUAUGCUUCUACACAUGCUUCCAUCAAAUUUCUAUUUUCAAAGCCCUAAAUUGAAAAAUGUAUGACUUACUUGGGUGGAGAUACUUUGAAUGCUUGCAAAAUGUUCGUGAGAUGAUGAUGAAUACUGCCUAAAUGCAGUGCUCACUCCAAAAACCCCAAACUUUGAUGGUAAAAUGAUGCAAAAGUGAUGAACAAAGGUUUUUUAGUGAGUGGGUGAUGGGAAGAAUGAAGAGAAACUCUUAAAAAGCUCUUGAGAGUGCAAAGGAAAAGUGAAAUUCGAAAAUUGGCGCUUGGGCAACCCUAAGGGGUAUUUAAAAUGUGCAGAUGGGCCUCUAACGCUGAGCUAUAUUAAAAAGCCCAAAACCCCUUUGUGACGCCACCGCUCAGCACUGGGUUACCGCUGAGCGGUAAGUGUGAUUUUGAAAUCUCUCCUUUUUGGCUCGCCUGAGCAUUAUCUAACCUGUAUCACUCGAUUUCAACUCUCAAUUUUAACUUUUUAUGCAAUUCCCCUCUCAUAUGCAUCAGAUAAGUCCUAAAAUGCAAC
RNAcentral lists this long non-coding RNA (692 nucleotides) under Vigna radiata. Its description in RNAcentral is "long non-coding RNA (VRAD_LNC004937)". The record is from RNAcentral. Lineage: Eukaryota; Viridiplantae; Streptophyta; Magnoliopsida; Fabales; Fabaceae.